This 330-nucleotide ribosomal RNA is filed under the name Triticum aestivum (bread wheat). RNAcentral's name for it is "partial small subunit ribosomal RNA". The record is from RNAcentral. Lineage: Eukaryota; Viridiplantae; Streptophyta; Magnoliopsida; Poales; Poaceae.
AUGCGUAUGUUGAGAUGGAUGUGUGGCCACACGAGGAAGGAUCGAGUCCGGAAUGAUGAUAUACGAGAUAGAGUUGGGGUAGCACCAAUUGAGGAGAAGCUUGUCCAACAUCGUCUGAGAUGGUUUGGGCAUAUUCAGCGCAGGCCUCCAGAAGCUCCAAUGCAUAGCGGAUGGCUAAAGCGUGCGGAGAAUGUCAAGAGAGGGCGGGGUAGGCUGAAUUUGACAUGGGAGGAGUCCGUUAAGAGAGACCUGAAGGAGUGGAGUAUCACCAAAGAGCUAACUAUGGACAGGGGUGCGUGGAAGCUUGCUAUCCAUGAGCCAGAGCCAUGA